CCCCUAGAUGUUCUGGGCCGCACGCGCGCUACACUGAACAGUUCAACAAGUCUUAACCUUGGCCGAUAGGUCUGGGUAAUCUUUGAACGCUGUUCGUGAUUGGGAUAGACCUUUGCAAUUAUGGGUCUUCAACGAGGAAUUCCUAGUAAACGCAAGUCAUCAGCUUGCAUUGAUUACGUCCCUGCCCUUUGUACACACCGCCCGUCGCACCUACCGAUUGAAUGGUCCGGUGAAGCGUUCGGACCGUGGCCUUUGGACGGUUCGCCGUCUGUUGGCUGCGGGAAGUUCGUUAAACCUUAUCAUUUAGAGGAAGGAGAAGUCGUAACA
This 327-nucleotide ribosomal RNA is filed under the name uncultured eukaryote. RNAcentral describes it as "partial 18S ribosomal RNA". It matches the Rfam family "Eukaryotic small subunit ribosomal RNA", at positions 1470 to 1796 of the family's 1831-position model. The record is from RNAcentral.